Molecule: ribosomal RNA, 562 nt
Filed under: uncultured bacterium
Lineage: Bacteria
Description: bacterial SSU rRNA
Rfam family: Bacterial small subunit ribosomal RNA
Source: RNAcentral
GGAUUGGAAAUGGGGGCACCCUGAUCCAGCGACNCCGCGUGUGNGAAGAAGGCCUGCGGGUUGUAAAGCACUUUUAGUGGGGAUGAAAAGCCAUCGGCUAAUACCUGGUGGUCUUGACCUAACCCAAAGAAAAAGCACCGGCUAACUCUGUGCCAGCAGCCGCGGUAAUACAGAGGGUGCAAGCGUUAAUCGGAAUUACUGGGCGUAAAGCGUGCGCAGACGGUCUCGUAAGUCGGGUGUGAAAGCCCCGGGCUCAACCUGGGAAUUGCAUUCGAAACUGCGAGGCUAGGGUACGGAAGAGGGAAGCGGAAUUUCUGGUGUAGCGGUGAAAUGCGUAGAUAUCAGAAGGAACAUCAGUGGCGAAAGCGGCUUCCUGGUCCAGUACCGACGUUCAGGCACGAAAGCGUGGGGAGCAAACAGGAUUAGAUACCCUGGUAGUCCACGCCUUAAACGAUGAGAACUAGACGUUGAGAGGGUUAGCCUCCCAGCGUCGCAGCUAACGCGCUAAGUUCUCCGCCUGGGGAGUACGGCCGCAAGGUUGAAACUCAAAAGAAUUGACGGA